RNAcentral lists this long non-coding RNA (342 nucleotides) under Mytilus galloprovincialis (Mediterranean mussel). The record is from RNAcentral. Lineage: Eukaryota; Metazoa; Mollusca; Bivalvia; Mytilida; Mytilidae.
GGAGCAGGCUAUAUGACAUUUCAGACUGACACAUAGUUUUCACAACAUGCCCACACACCUAAUAUAAUAGUCAUAUUAUCUAAAUUUAUGAGGAAGACCUUUUCCUUAAAACCGUUGUGUGUGUGUGAAAAAAAGGUGUUGACCUUUAAAUUUCAGAUCGGACCUCAUCCAGAAACUAAGGCAGGUCACUACUGUGAAAUGAGAUUGAAACUGUGUGACCAUAUCUUGUUGACAAGGUCUUUUUAUAAGUACCUCAAACAAAUUAUUGUGUGAAUAGGAAGGAAAUAAGAGAAAUUUUGAAUAUGAGUAGAUAUAAAAAUAUACAAUAUAAUUUUUUCCUAA